This 250-nucleotide ribosomal RNA is filed under the name uncultured bacterium. RNAcentral describes it as "partial 16S ribosomal RNA". It matches the Rfam family "Bacterial small subunit ribosomal RNA", at positions 524 to 773 of the family's 1533-position model. The record is from RNAcentral.
UACAGAGGGUGCAAGCGUUAAUCGGAUUUACUGGGCGUAAAGGGUACGUAGGUGGUCUUUUAAGUCGGAUGUGAAAUCCCUGAGCUUAACUUAGGAAUUGCAUUCGAUACUGAAAGACUAGAGUAUGGGAGAGGAUGGUAGAAUUCCAGGUGUAGCGGUGAAAUGCGUAGAGAUCUGGAGGAAUACCGAUGGCGAAGGCAGCCAUCUGGCCUAAUACUGACACUGAGGUACGAAAGCAUGGGGAGCAAAC